CAGUAGCCACGGGAAUACGAGGGGGGCAAGCGUCGUUCGGAUUUAUUGGGCGUAAAGGGCUCGCAGGCGGUUUCUUAAGUCUGAUGUGAAAGCCCCCGGCUCAACCGGGGAGGGUCAUUGGAAACUGGGAAACUUGAGUGCAGAAGAGGAGAGUGGAAUUCCACGUGUAGCGGUGAAAUGCGUAGAGAUGUGGAGGAACACCAGUGGCGAAGGCGACUCUCUGGUCUGUAACUGACGCUGAGGAGCGAAAGCGUGGGGAGCGAACAGGAUUAGAGACCCCUGUAGUCCCUGUCUCUUAUAC
Molecule: ribosomal RNA, 301 nt
Filed under: uncultured bacterium
Lineage: Bacteria
Description: partial 16S ribosomal RNA
Rfam family: Bacterial small subunit ribosomal RNA
Source: RNAcentral